RNAcentral lists this ribosomal RNA (253 nucleotides) under uncultured bacterium. RNAcentral's name for it is "partial 16S ribosomal RNA". It matches the Rfam family "Bacterial small subunit ribosomal RNA", at positions 524 to 776 of the family's 1533-position model. The record is from RNAcentral.
UACAGAGGUCUCAAGCGUUGUUCGGAUUCACUGGGCGUAAAGGGUGCGUAGGCGGCUCGGUAAGUCGGGUGUGAAAUCUCGGAGCUUAACUCCGAAACUGCAUUCGAUACUGCCGUGCUUGAGGACUGGAGAGGAGACUGGAAUUUACGGUGUAGCGGUGAAAUGCGUAGAUAUCGUAAGGAAGACCAGUGGCGAAGGCGGGUCUCUGGACAGUUCCUGACGCUGAGGCACGAAAGUCAGGGGAGCAAACGGG